AACCGUCGACGAACCACCACAUCAUCUUCUUAGCCACCAGUUAGCCCAGUCCACCACCCCACAGUUCCUCCCCACGCACACCACCAGGCCGGGCGGAGAGAGGCAGGAGCACGCCGCCAACGGGCGGCAGUCCUCCCCUCGCCGGCACGCGGCCCUCGCGCCACCGUCGCCGCCGCAACACGGCCCUCGAACUGCACCGCCACCACCGCAGCGCGGCCCUCGCGCCGCUGUCGUCGUCGAAGCACGGCCCACCCUCCGCCGCCGUCGUGGCAGUGCGGCCCUCGCUCCGCCGCUGCUGCCGCCGCCAACGGCCUUCGGCCGCAGCACUCCGUGCCCACGACGGAGCCGUCGCCCUGCACCGCGCGGCCAGAUCCGGCCGCGGGAGCACCGGAUCUGGCCACCGCGGUGCCGGAUCCCCAGCCUCCCUCGCCGUCGAGCGCGCCUCCCUCCGCCUGGCUCGCCACGCUCCGCCCCGUCUCCCUCGCGCCAGAGACGACGCGUCGCCGUGGUUACGCCUCGCCGCCGCCAUCCCAGCUCCCCGCACGGUUGUCCAGCGACUAACUCCGACGGCGGCGAGACAGAGAGAGGGGAGGAGGGUGGGUGGCGGCGGCGGCGGCUAGGGUUUGCCCCUGAGCCUCUGCUGUUGGCUACAGAUUGGCUCUCCAGACUCCACUUCUUUCUGAAUCCACGCCGGUCAAUGAUAUGCAAACCUUGGAUGAUUGAAUACAGUUUGGUACAGAUUCUCAUUCUGCCAAGCUCAAGCUCAGCAUGUACUUCACCUGCUAUGCUAUUGUACCUUGUUCACGACUUCAUGUGAUAGGCUAGCUAGUUUAGCUAGAUAUGAUAUUGCAGUUUUGGCAAGGGAUACCAAACUAGUAACAGCAGAAUAAUUAUGACAUAGG
Molecule: small RNA, 902 nt
Filed under: Oryza sativa Japonica Group (Japanese rice)
Lineage: Eukaryota; Viridiplantae; Streptophyta; Magnoliopsida; Poales; Poaceae
Description: sRNA Os03g0618900
Source: RNAcentral